Molecule: long non-coding RNA, 1931 nt
Filed under: Camponotus floridanus (Florida carpenter ant)
Lineage: Eukaryota; Metazoa; Arthropoda; Insecta; Hymenoptera; Formicidae
Description: uncharacterized LOC105254719
Source: RNAcentral
UGGAGCGAAGAGACUGUAACUUCGCAAGAGAUGCAACGCAGAGAAUGCGCCAGAGACUGCAUUUCCGGUGCACAUCGUCCUCGCAUGAGAGUGUGAACUCAUUGCUCGAGAAAUAUUCUCUUCAAUAUUCAGAAUUAAGAUAAACUCCACACAUCUUUCCGAUCGACAUUUUAUCUUCUUAUCGAUGCGAAGUUUUUUUCGGCGGAAAACUAUUAUUUGGUCACUUAUGUCGCAAGUCAAAGAAUAUUACGAAAAUUCACCAGAGGUUUAAGAUUUAAUAUUCAUCGAUCGAUACAAAUUUUCUUUCGCGAAGAUUCAAACGGACUUCUUCGAGAAAACUCCGAACUUUCGAAGAGUACUACGGAUUCGUUACUGAGACGAUCAGCUAACAACUCAGUCCGACUGCUUUGACGCGCCGUAUCGUGUAUCACAUGUUGCAGCAUCGCGAAAAUGUACGCGCGAAGACCAUUCGAUUCGUCGGGAACGACGAAUAUCCCGCCUCCAGGUACAUGCGCACUGACUGCGCCGUAGGUUGAUUCGCUGCCGCAUCAUUAGCGGCAACCAGCCAGACACAGCUCUCGAUGGUCAAGGGAGAACGCGGACACGAGCGGUCUGACCAAUCGCAAUGUGCCAUCUCUACGAUCUUAAAGUGAUUGUAACUGGAGAGAUUCUGAUCUUCCAAUCAUUACGCCAGUAUUAUCUGCGAUUCGUGUGGUUCAUCGCUCGAUGGUACACGUCGCGGCCUCGCGAUGACUGAUCGCCGACACUUAUCGUGAUACGAACUUCCUCAUCUUUCUCCUUGCGGUGAUGAAAAAUCUCGAGAGCACGCUAUUAAGAAGAAAGAAAAGCCGCGAGGAACUUAAGCGCGAGGUCGAACGAGCGGCAUAAGUUUGAUCGAAUCGAAAUUACGAUCUUCUUCCUCCAUCCUUCUGGGAGACUUCGGGCGGCGAUGCAGGUGCGAGUCUUGCACAUGCGAGGAGAACGCGUUUAUACGUAUAUACACAUCUCGCAGUCUCGCAUAGACCACCACAUAGGCAUGCCACGUAGAUACGUAAUAUUUGAUUUCUUGUCGCUAGAAGAAUUUGAAAAAUUACAUGCGCUCUUUUUUAUAAAGUUCAACCCUUACGGAGAUAUCGAUCGAAACGUAUAUAUUAUAUGAGCGUGCUUCUUGUCACCCGCCUGUUUGAAUCUGCUCGUUAUCAUUAUGUGGCUGGAUUUGUGCCGAUAACACGGGCCGCAUACAAUUCUUGCUCUGGGAUCGGACCUGGUCGUGCGAACCCGAACACCUGUCGACGGCCACCAGGUAACGUGACAUCACGUCACGUGAUGAGCCGGCGAGCUGGCGAACGCACCGGGAUCCACCCCCGACGACCCCGUGACGCGUCCCGACAGUAAUCGGUCUAAUCGACGUCCCGGAGACUUAUGCACAGAGUGCUAUCAACGUUCCGUAUCAAUCCUGAAGAAUUAACAAGCGUUUUCGCACGCGGAAAUGCGACUGCUUCUUCCUCGCACGAAAAGGAGGCCGCCUCUCACGCAUCGAGCCCGCUGUUGUAUACCACGGAACAGGACAGGACGGUACCCAAGAAGGUCGCGUGUCUACUCCUUAGUCUCGUUUCACCGCUGCCACCCUUCAACCCUCUCCCUCUACAGGAAGUACGAAUUCUCCUUUCACCCUCGCACAAAGUCACGUAUCGUGACGCCCAUUGUUUCACAACUUGGGCAAAGUUAUCUCAUCAAGUCGUCACGAGGACGCCCUUUCCUUCUCUACCUCUCUUUUUACCCCUCCUCUCUCCCGCUCCAAGUCCUGAUUAAACUUUUCUUACUUUUGCGGCUCGAGGUAUUUAUAAUCUCGCGCCGCUCCGCGCUCUCUCAGAACCGCAGAAUCGUUAUCAGGGCUUAACUAAUUAGCGGCAUUUCGGCGAAAAAAUCAU